This 465-nucleotide ribosomal RNA is filed under the name uncultured bacterium. RNAcentral describes it as "partial 16S ribosomal RNA". It matches the Rfam family "Bacterial small subunit ribosomal RNA", at positions 28 to 507 of the family's 1533-position model. The record is from RNAcentral.
GACGAACGCUGGCGGCGUGCUUAACACAUGCAAGUCGAACGGAAAGGCCCUGCUUGCAGGGUACUCGAGUGGCGAACGGGUGAGUAACACGUGGGUGAUCUGCCCUGCACUUCGGGAUAAGCCUGGGAAACUGGCUCUAAUACCGGAUAGGAGCCAUUUUUAGUGUGAUGGUUGGAAAGUUUUUUCGGUGUAGGAUGAGCUCGCGGCCUAUCAGCUUGUUGGUGGGGUAAUGGCCUACCAAGGCGGCGACGGGUAGCCGGCCUGAGAGGGCGGACGGCCACAUUGGGACUGAGAUACGGCCCAGACUCCUACGGGAGGCAGCAGUGGGGAAUAUUGCACAAUGGGCGCAAGCCUGAUGCAGCGACGCCGCGUGGGGGAUGACGGCCUUCGGGUUGUAAACUCCUUUCGCUAGGGACGAAGCUUUUUGUGACGGUACCUAGAUAAGAAGCACCGGCUAACUACGUG